Long non-coding RNA from Papaver somniferum (opium poppy), 472 nucleotides. RefSeq lists it as uncharacterized. Lineage: Eukaryota; Viridiplantae; Streptophyta; Magnoliopsida; Ranunculales; Papaveraceae. The transcript is spliced from 3 exons. The record is from RefSeq and is a predicted model, not a curated record.
AUCUUUCAUGCUCUCACUUAUUCUGACCAAUCUCUCAAUUCAAGAUUUUCAGAUGAAAAAUUAAAAUAUGGAGGAGAUAUGUAGGUUUUCAAAUGAAUGGUCUCUCGUUUCUCUUUGUAAGCAUACAAAUCUUUAAUAUCCGUCUUUAAAUUCAAGGCGGAUCUUUUUAUUUUGUCUUCUUGUUGAUGUAAUUGGUGGAAAUAGUUGUGGAAGAACAAGCGUCUAAGAUUUCAGUUGACGCAAUAACACAGUUGGUUAUUAUCAAGGAUCCCAUUUCAGAUGCAGUUAGUAAAGCAGGCCUAAUGCUACCCUUAGAUUUGGAUCAUCACCACAACCAGAUUUGGUCGAGGUGUGUUAUGGAUUGAAGCUCGUUUGAACAAGGACGGGGAAUUUGAAGAACUUUUACCAGAUUUAUUCACUCAUAAUAUUAUUAAUUAUCAUUUUUAUUGAUUUAUGAAUAACUUUUUGUGCA